AUGAGUCAUGUGGCAGUGGAAAAUGC
RNAcentral lists this non-coding RNA (26 nucleotides) under Cricetulus griseus (Chinese hamster). Lineage: Eukaryota; Metazoa; Chordata; Mammalia; Rodentia; Cricetidae. The record is from RNAcentral.